Mytilus californianus (California mussel) is the source of this 742-nucleotide long non-coding RNA. RefSeq lists it as uncharacterized. The transcript is spliced from 7 exons. Lineage: Eukaryota; Metazoa; Mollusca; Bivalvia; Mytilida; Mytilidae. The record is from RefSeq and is a predicted model, not a curated record.
GAAACGCAGAGAAGGUUAUGCAAGAGUAAACAUGUCUUAUGAAGUUUUAUGAAGAAUGGAUUUCGCAAUCGUAUCAAAACUAGUUAACUUAAAGUUUAUUUCCGGUGAGAUUCCAAGAGUUACAGACAGUAUCACAAGGAUAAAUUUUACAACAGUACAUGCACAAAUAUUUGUAAUUGCCGUUGUUUUUUUAUUCUUCUCCAUCAGUUGGUUCUUCAAAGGUCUUCAGAGAAAGAAGUCGAAAACAUUCUUGGCAAAUGCAGAAAAGGACAAGCCCAAGUAACGGAUAUUUCACAUUUUAAGAAAGACAUUGCAAACCUGUUUUCCACAAUAAAAGCACAGUCAAAACAAUUACACUAUAGAUAUGAAAGAGCAGAAGUAAUUGUUUCUAACCCUGAUGAAUGUGACAACCUUAUACAUGAAUUUCGUUCAAUAAAAUACAACUGGGUUAAAGAAUUUUCUUUCGUCAGCCGAUUUGAUAUUGAUUACUUAAAUGGACGGAAAGCUUCAGACACCAAAGUUCAGCUCCAUGGCUAAAGGAUUUGUAGACAGAGAAUUGGAUAGGAUAAAGAAGGAUAUGGCUGAGGAUAUGCUGUCUCUCAUGGAAGUGGAAAGAGAUGUCAGAACUUUACAGAGAUAUUUUGGCAAGUGAAGAUUGUUCGAGUAUAUUAUAGCAGAUGGUACGAUCUACAAUACAGACUGUUAUUUUUUUACUUAUUUAUAUAAAUUUUGUUCCAAACUG